Molecule: ribosomal RNA, 253 nt
Filed under: uncultured bacterium
Lineage: Bacteria
Description: partial 16S ribosomal RNA
Rfam family: Bacterial small subunit ribosomal RNA
Source: RNAcentral
UACGUAGGUGGCAAGCGUUGUUCGGAAUUACUGGGCGUAAAGCGCGCGCAGGCGGUCUUCCAAGUCAGUGGUGAAAGCCCGGAGCUCAACUCCGGAACUGCCAUUGAAACUGUGAGACUGGAGUACGAGAGAGGUGAGUGGAAUUCCCAGUGUAGAGGUGAAAUUCGUAGAUAUUGGGAAGAACACCGGUGGCGAAGGCGGCUCACUGGCUCGUAACUGACGCUCAGGCGCGACAGCGUGGGGAUCAAACAGG